CCCUUAGAUGUUCUGGGCCGCACGCGUGCUACACUGAGUGGAUCAGCGGGUCAGGUUGCGCGAAAGUGUUUCCUAAUCUUGAAAUCCGCUCGUGAUGGGGAUUGACGGUUGCAAUUUUCUGUCAUGAACGAGGAAUACCUUGUAAGCGCGGGUCAUCAUCCCGCGCUGAAUACGUCCCUGCCCUUUGUACACACCGCCCGUCGCUCCUACCGAUUGAGUGGUCCGGUGAGGCUUUGGGAUCUGAGUGGAAAGAGCGUUUCGCUGUUUCUGCUCGGAAAACUCAGUCGAACCUUAUCAUUUAGAGGAAGGAGAAGUCGUAACA
This 322-nucleotide ribosomal RNA is filed under the name uncultured eukaryote. RNAcentral's name for it is "partial 18S ribosomal RNA". It matches the Rfam family "Eukaryotic small subunit ribosomal RNA", at positions 1470 to 1796 of the family's 1831-position model. The record is from RNAcentral.